This 29-nucleotide small RNA is filed under the name Bombyx mori (domestic silkworm). RNAcentral describes it as "ovarian small RNA-30376". Lineage: Eukaryota; Metazoa; Arthropoda; Insecta; Lepidoptera; Bombycidae. The record is from RNAcentral.
UGAAACAACCAAUCCUGGUCCUACUGAGC